AAGUCGUAACAAGGUUUCCGUAGCAUAAGUUAGGAACAUGAUUCUUCCACAAUAAAAACUUAUAGAAGCCUUAGUAGCCCAGAGAUGGGAGGCCACACGACUGAAAAGAAAGUGGCUGCUUGCUAGUUGACAUGUAAUUGUCAGCAACACAACCGGACUGACGGGAACACCUAUUAUACGUAUAGUGUUAUAGGUAACCCACAGCGAACCCCUCUAAGCAUCAAUGCUAAGUGGGAACGUAUACAGACUAAAUGGUUGUGGGUAGAUCAUUCCACGGAAUGCUCUAUUUGAGAUAUAGUCGGGCCUGAUACUCAUUCAUCAGGGUGUCCCACCUGUCAUUCAUGAAUGUGAAAACUUUAGUAUAAUUUCAAUUUCACGAUUAUGAAUUUCAUGACACGACAAACCGUUCCGUAGGUGAACCUGCGGAAGGAUCAUUACAGAGAACAUGCCCUUCGGGGUAGAUCUCCCACCCUUUGUCUACCUUACUUUGUUGCUUUGGCGGGCCCGUCUACCGACCGCCGGCCACUGCUGGUCAGUGCCUGCCAGAGGACCCCAAACUCUUAUUAAUGUCGUCUGAUUACAAUAUAAUAUAUUAAAACUUUCAACAACGGAUCUCUUGGUUCUGGCAUCGAUGAAGAACGCAGCGAAAUGCGAUAAGUAAUGUGAAUUGCAGAAUUCAGUGAAUCAUCGAAUCUUUGAACGCACAUUGCACCCUCUGGUAUUCCGGGGGGUAUGCCUGUUCGAGCGUCAUUAUAACCCUCAAGCUCUGCUUGGUAUUGGAUGAAAUAGUCAUCAUCCUAAAAUCAGUGGCGGUGCACUCGGCUUCCAGCGUAAUAAUUCUCUCGCUGUGGAAUCCUAGGCGUGCGUUUGCCAACAACCCUCAUUCUUCCAAAGGUUGACCUCGGAUCAGGUAGGGAUACCCGCUGAACUUAAGCAUAUCAAUAAGCGGAGGAAAAGAAACCAACAGGGAUUGCCUUAGUAACGGCGAGUGAAGCGGCAACAGCUCAAAUUUGAAAUCUGGCCGUCUGGUCCGAGUUGUAAUUUGUAGAGGAUGCUUCGAACGUGGUCUGGUCUAAGUUCCUUGGAACAGGACGUCAUAGAGGGUGAGAAUCCCGUAUGCGACUAGGUGCCUUAGUUCAUGUGAAGCUCCUUCGACGAGUCGAGUUGUUUGGGAAUGCAGCUCAAAAUGGGUGGUAUAUUUCAUCUAAAGCUAAAUAUUGGCCAGAGACCGAUAGCGCACAAGUAGAGUGAUCGAAAGAUGAAAAGCACUUUGGAAAGAGAGUUAAACAGUACGUGAAAUUGUUGAAAGGGAAGCGCUUGCAACCAGACUUGCAUGCAGUUGAUCAUCCGAUGUUCUCACCGGUGCACUCGAUUGUAUUCAGGCCAGCAUCGGUUUCAGUGGUUGGAUAAAGGCCAUGGGAAUGUAGCUUCUUUUGGGGAGUGUUAUAGCCCAAGGUGCAAUGCAGCCUACUGGGACCGAGGACCGCGCUUCGGCUAGGAUGCUGGCGUAAUGGUUGUAAGCGACC
This 1526-nucleotide non-coding RNA is filed under the name uncultured fungus. RNAcentral's name for it is "eukaryotic LSU rRNA". The stretch from base 897 to 1526 matches the Rfam family "Eukaryotic large subunit ribosomal RNA", at positions 1 to 649 of the family's 3401-position model. The record is from RNAcentral. Lineage: Eukaryota; Fungi.